This 449-nucleotide ribosomal RNA is filed under the name uncultured bacterium. RNAcentral describes it as "partial 16S ribosomal RNA". It matches the Rfam family "Bacterial small subunit ribosomal RNA", at positions 354 to 796 of the family's 1533-position model. The record is from RNAcentral.
GUGGGGAAUCUUCCGCAAUGGACGAAAGUCUGACGGAGCGACGCCGCGUGAGUGAAGAAGGCCUUCGGGUCGUAAAGCUCUGUCAUCAGGGACGAACGGCCGGUGGAGUGGAAAGCCACCGGAUUGACGGUACCUGAGAAGGAAGCCACGGCUAACUACGUGCCAGCAGCCGCGGUAAUACGUAGGUGGCAAGCGUUGUCCGGAAUUAUUGGGCGUAAAGCGCGCGCAGGUGGGAUCUUAAGUCCAUUUUGAAAGUUCGGAGCUCAACUCCGUGAUGGGAUGGAAACUGGGAUUCUUGAGUACCGGAGAGGAAAGCGGAAUUCCCCGUGUAGCGGUGAAAUGCGUAGAUAUGGGGAGGAACACCAGUGGCGAAGGCGGCUUUCUGGACGGUGUCUGACACUGAGGCGCGAAAGCUAGGGGAGCGAACGGGAUUAGAAACCCAGUAGUCC